This is a long non-coding RNA of Aethalodelphis obliquidens (Pacific white-sided dolphin), 6103 nucleotides long. RefSeq lists it as uncharacterized. The transcript is spliced from 3 exons. Lineage: Eukaryota; Metazoa; Chordata; Mammalia; Artiodactyla; Delphinidae. The record is from RefSeq and is a predicted model, not a curated record.
AAAGUGGCCAGCACGGAGCCGGCCCUCAUAAAUUGUGGCUAUGAAGACAGGUCCUGUCCUUGUGCGGCUCCUAGUCCAAUGGGUGAGGGAGGCAGACGGGUGAGCAACUAAAAUCCAAUGCCAUGAUAAAGGAGGAGUUUGGGUAUAACAAAGAAGGGAGGGGCAGGCUGGGCGCGUGGGUGCCGCUCCAUAGGUGUUCACAGAUGCGGCCGCCGCGCCAGGCCUUCAUGCCUCCCCACAUCUCAGCCUGCCAAAGUCCUGCCACCCUUCAAGACCAGCUCCCCAGUUCUCCUAUCUGCCCCCGUGAUCUCCCCCAGUGAGCAUGGAUUCAGAGGCACUGGCAUCUGUGUGCUGUUCCCCGGAACAAGGCUGUGAGCUCCAGCUGAUAAUUCAAAUGGCAUUCACAGACAGGCAUCUGCACACUCACCCGGGCCACCUCUCCAACCUCCAUGGGCCAGUGGGUCCUUGACUCCCUACCCAGCAAGAGCCCUGGCCCCUCACUUCUUUCAAACUGCCUUGGCUGCUGCCAGCUGCUGGCUCACACCCCCGACUCGUGGUUUCUUACAGUCAUUCAGAUCGGGACCCCUGAAUCAGCCAGCUUUGAGUGCCUGGGUUGGCCAAAUGGCCCCAUUUUGCAGGGCUGCCUGUCUAACCCUCCACUCACAGCUACCUUACCGCUGGGAGGAACCUUGACCUGAGCUGCUCCCAUUCCCUUCCACCUUUGCCAACAAAACUCACGUUCGUGGCUCUUUGGCCUCUGACACCAACUGGAGCACAUUUGCACAGCACUUCACAGUUUGCAACCAAUCCAGCCUUCUGUCAGUCACUUAGGCUCUGAACUUCUCAGGGCCAAUCAGUCAUCCAUUCCUGUCUCCACCAAGUAGAAAGAGCAACUGUUCAGGUCCUAGCCCCUCUCCGUCACUUAUUUGCUGGGAGGCCUUAGGUUAGUUGCUUCAGCUUUCUGUGCCCCAGUUUCUGUAAAAUGGGAACAAUAAUAUUAUGGACAUCACAGAGGUCUUGUGUGGAUUCAAGGAGACAAUGCAUAUAAAACACUUAGGACAAUGCCUAGCACACAGUAAGUGCCCAAUAAAUGCCAGUGGUGAUUCCCCAGCUUUCUCAGAGGUUUACACAGGCUAUCUCCAAGCCCACGCUGCUGCGGCCCCACCUCCAGGCUUUUCCCCGGGCCCCAUUUCAUCUCAUUCCCACUGUUCAAAUUCUGUCUUUGGAAUCAGACAGACCUGGUUUUACUUUUUGUGCCAGUGAGUAUUUCUCUGAGCCUCAGUUUCUUUAUCUGUAAACUGGGACUGUGGAUCCCCACCUCAACAGGUUGAUGUGAGGAUCAAAUGAGAUGGGGGCCAUCGAAGUGCUUGUCACAUUUAAGGAUUUAUCUUGCCACAUCCAUAGAGCUCAGUAUGAGGCUAGUUUGGCUUGGGCCCAAGGGUGGGGUGGGUACAAGGGGAAGAGAAUGGCUGGGAAAACUAACACAGAUGCCAAAGAGGCCCUAGCAAGGGUAGCGAAACUCAGCAAGACAGUGCCUGAAGGGCACAGCAAGCUUAGGCAUGACACAGGCAGUGGGCACUGACAAGAGUGCUGAUUUGAUUCUGGGCCCAGCAGAAGCCACAACAUGAAGUCUUGCAGGAAUCUGGUCAUUCUCAGUGGGAUCCAGAUAUGUUUCCUGAAGGACUCAAACCUACAAGGAGGAUAUGAAGGAGAGACACUGGCUGAGAAGAGAUUCCUUUGGGUGGCAGUGGGGAGGCAGAGGUUGAGGAUACUGACAGCACUCUCUACCCAGAAAGAAGUGAGGUGGUGGUCUGGGGGUCAAGGGCCAAAGGACUUUCAAAAAUCAAUCCCUCUUUGUGACUAAGACCUGCCUGAAGAAUUUUCUGGUCCCUGGUCUCUCCCUGGAUGGACCUGUGUGGGUCCUCCCUGGAUGGUGCUUGGGACAUGGCAAGGCCUGAGACUGGAGGUGGGGAAAUCAGGGAACCAGAGUCGGUUUGAUGUGAGAUAUGCCUGAGCUUCAGCCUCCUGGAUGCUGUAGCAGCAGAGUGAGGGCAGAGCUGGGCACUAGAUGGCCUUGGGUACGGGAGGGUUGCUCCAGGAGCAUACAGGCAGCUGCAAGGCCGAGGUCCAGGCCUGGAAGCCAGGGGCCAGUCCACCUCAAGCCAGUCAUCAGGGUUCUCCAAAGCUCAACUGGUCUCUAAGGAGCUGCUCUGAUCAGGGAGUCAUCGGUCUAGAACAUUUAUGAAGCACCAGACACUGGGGCUGGGAAAGCAGAGGUGAAUCCUUGCUUUCCAAGACUUUGCAUCUCUAAGCUGAGGUAAUGGGGCACAGGCAGGGUGAGGCAUGGAGAUGGGGGUAGAGAUUUAUCUCAGCUCUGACACUGCUUUGCAUAAUACAGACUUUCCCCUCUCUGAGCCUCAGCAUCCUUGUCUGUACCCUGAGAGAAGGUGGGGGAAUCAAUGCUUUAUAAGGGCAUAUGAGUCUGAAAUGGUGAAGCGGGCUCAGCGGUCAUGAGAGGGGAUGAAUAGAGCCCGGGGUUUCAGAGCAGACUCCUGAAAGGUGUCCUGUCCUUCAGGCUCCCUGGCCUUCCCCCAUCUCCCAGGGAGGCCCUGCAGGCUGGACUACAGGGGCUGAGACCAUAUGCAAACCCCCCUUCUAGCCUUCCCUGCUGUGUAGUGUGGUAUGUCCAGACAUCUGCUUGCCCACCAGGCCUGAAGCACUUAGGUUUCGGCGCACAGAGGAGCAGCCAUGGAGAACUGAUGUGGCUUUUUCCCUUCUAGGCCCCAGACCCUCUCUGGUGACCAUAGGAGGCCAAUUAGCAGAGAACAAAAUGCUUCCUGCCCUGGGCCCUCACCUUCAACUGUCUGCAUCUGCUCAAAGCUUAAUGGUCAUUUGAUCUGCCUCUGGGGGAACAGAGGAUGGGGCUUCCGUGGACUGCCUGGCUCCAGGCAGCAGCCUGGGUCCUGAGGGAGGCGGGGGAGGAGGAGCAAGGUGCCUGUGGCUGCUGGGGAAGCCCAAGAUGGCAGCAAUACAGUUCACUUGGGGCCAAGGGCCAGUGUCUGGAGCUGUUCCUGCUGCCUAGCUGGGAACUGAUGCUCCCCAGGGUCUCCUCUGAACCUGUGCAAGGCCCUAGCUGGGCCCAAGAUGGUGGUGGGUGUAGCUGGUGGUGGGGGCGACAAUGAGCCCUUAGGGCAUCUUGGUUUAGGAAGCUGCCGAGGCCUGGACUUCUGAGGGACCCAGCCCUAUGCUUUUGCAGGUGGGAUGUGGUUAAAAGCCUCCAUCCCACGCUUUCCAGGCUGGUCUGGAAAACUGGUUUGUCUGCCCGUGUGCUGUGGGGAAAAUGCUCAGCUAGAAGGGAGAGAAGCAUAGUUCUGGUCGGGGCCCUGCCACUGAUGGGCUGCUUUGUGGUUUCUCCAUCCCUGGGCCUCAUUUUCCUCAUCUGUCAAGCAAGAAUCACUGCCCACCUUACAGAGUCAGCUGACACUGCUUGGAAAAGUGUCCUCAGAGAGCUCAGUUCUUACUGCUUUUAAGGAGUAGCAGAUUUUUGGAGGCCCUUACCCCACCAUUCCUGAUGUCCUGCUCUGAAUGACUCUGGAUAGACAGACGUCUGUGAACGAAGCAACAGCACGCGCAAAAGAUGGAGAUAUGAAUGUUCAUGACUUAUUUAAGACUAGCAAGUGACCCUGAGUGACUGGACCAUAUGGAAGAUAGGAAGCUGGAACUCAGAGAAGACAAGUGACUCGCCUAAGGUCACAUAGCCAGUAAGCAGCAGAGCAAGGAUUCAGAUCCAGGACUGUUGGACACUAGAGUCUGAAGUCUUUCUUUUAUGUUGUCUCCAACCAUCUCUCAGGAGACUCCAAUUCUAGACUGGGUCCCAGUCAGGGGCUCAGAGCUGAAAGCCCCUCUUUCAGACCCUUAUGUACAUACCCUGCGGGAGCAGCAGGUCUGGACCAGGCCAUGGUAGGCAUGGAACUCCAGCAGGAAUGUCAGCGGACUCCUGUACUGCCUGACCCAGGGCAUCCUUUCUCUCUGUCCCAGGCCUGUAGAGCUGGGCUUAUUUUCAGGGCUGGAUGAGUGGAUUUUUCCCAAUGGAGUGUGGAUAGUCCACAGUUGGGACAAAUGGAGGCCCCUCCCUCCCAUAGGAGAAAAGGGGAAAGGGGGAAGGGGAGCAGAGCAGCCUUCCAGAAGGGAUAGCUUUGCUGAGUUUCAGCCUAAUAUCCUGGAGCUAUUCCUAGGUAGAUUGUGGUCAGUGGAAUUAUGCUUUUAUCAGGCUGCUGGGAGUUUCAAUAAAAUCUUUAUGGCCUGGAAAGUUCUCUUUAUGGAAAUCAGAUUAUUGAGGUGCCUGCUGGGGGGAGGGCUUCACCAGCCUGCCUUGCUCCCCACUGCCUCCCUCCUUCCCUUCAGAACAGCUCCCCCACUCAGCUCCUUUCCUCCCCUCCCCACAAGCCCCCAGCUCCCAGGGACAUUUGAGCUCCUCACACCGAGACAUGAAGAGGGCUUUGGCAGGUAGAGGGGCACUGAGAGGGCGCAUCAAAGGUGCUAGUGGGACUGCAAAAUUAAUGCUGCAAAAUAGCCCACUCCCAUUCUCCCACCGUCACCCCCGUUGAAGAGCCCUGGUUUUGCCAUUUCUGGGUCAAUCUUCCUCUGCUCUUGGCUCCCUCUGUUGGCAGACCCAAGAUUCUGGGCCUUAGCACACAGCUGAGCCACUCCCCCCAUCCCCCCCCCCAUCCCCAGCCCUGCCCAUCUGUCUAGAGAGCCUUCCUGCCCGGCACCUUGUGGGGCCUGAGUUUGGGUUGAACCCCAAGGCAGUGUUGCUCCAGCUCUAGGGGAGCUUUCUUGAGAGUGCCCUGCCCUGUGGCUCUUUCUUGGGGGUGGAGGAGCAACUAUAGUUGAGGCCCCCCCCACUCCACCCCAUAAACUGCCUGCUUGGGGAGGGCCUGCCCUAGGAGGUUUUCCUUGUGGCUUUCUAGGAGGUUUUAAUUUAGCAAAAGGAAAGUGGUUUGGGCCGAAUGGUCUCUUUCAGGGCUAGAGUCUUUAAAAAGCCCUCUGAAAUGUGGUGCUUUUGCCUACCGAAGCUCUCUCACUGCCUGCAUCCCAGCAUCCUCCCUGGGAGAUCUUCCAUUAAGUUUCUAAUUCAAGAGGCAUCCUGUCCUCCGAGGAAUGAUUGAAGGACCUGGAAAAGAGAAGACUGAAGGGGCCAGAGGCUUUGUGUUCAGCCCUUUGACGGGCUGUCAUGGGACAGAGGAAGCCGAUGUGUUCUGUGUGGUUCCAGCAGUAGGGCUAAACCAUGCCCCUGUUGGUCUUUUUACCCUAUUAUCAUCUGGAAUCAUCCAAACAACAAUAUGAGGUGAGGAGUAUUGUCCCCAGUUUACAGAUGAGGAAACUAAGACCCAGGUCCACACAGCUAGGAAGGGGCGGGGCUGCCUUUCAAAGCCAGGUCAUCUGACAUCAAAUCUAGCAUUCUCCACAUCCUGACCAAUGGACAGAGGCAACAAGUAGGCAGCAUUGAGUUCUGCGUAGGCGGCCCUUUGGAGCCACCCCAGCCAGCAGCCCCAACGCCACCCAUGCACCGAUUUCAGCAACUGCCUGGAACCCACUCCCUGUUGGAUCCCAUCUCUCUUCCACCCCGACCCUGCUCUAGACCUGUACCCCAGCUUCGCAUCUGCCCCUGGCAUUUCUCUUUGCCUGGGGCCAACACUCAUUCUCCCCAGUGGACUUGCCCUCAGACUUUCCUCACUUUAGACCUCUCAGAACCGAACAGCCCAGGUAGUUUGCCUUGUGCUCCCAUCCUGUCCACUCUCGCCCUCUUGAUUUGACAAUAAGGAAGAACUUUCUAACAGAGCUGUCCAAGGAUGGACAGGUGGGGCUGGUUGCUCAGGGCCCAGGCAUUGGGUUGGGGUCUGUCCGAGCUGGGAAUCCUUCCAGUGAUUUCUCUUGAGUUAGGCAUGCAUUUUUCUGUGAGCCCUUCUAUGACUGUGUCCAGGUUUUACACUCACCCUCUUGUUUCCCAUUCUUUCUCUCUCUCCCAACCUCAGUCUCUCUUUUUUUGCCCUUUUCUAUGUGUUCUUUUCUCUUAUUCUCUCUUUAUCUUUCUCUGUGCAUU